UCAAACUUGGUCAUUUAGAGGAAGUAAAAGUCGUAACAAGGUUUCCGUAGGUGAACCUGCGGAAGGAUCAUUAAGAGAAAAUCCUAAGGUUUUUUUUUCCAAAGUGAUUGCUGCCUCUCCGGCGGUAGUCUCCUUUGAAAGAAGAAAAAACCCUUCGAUAUCCACAUUCACCCUGUGUGCACUCAUUUGGAACCGAAUCUUUUUUAUUUGGUUCCCAAACAUUUUUCCAUACGCUUUAAUGUUUGUCUGAAAAAAUUUUUUCAAAAAAAAUUGUGAUAAUACAACUUUCAACAACGGAUCUCCCGGCUCUCGCAUCGAUGAAGAACGCAGC
Molecule: unclassified non-coding RNA, 331 nt
Filed under: uncultured fungus
Lineage: Eukaryota; Fungi
Description: partial contains small subunit ribosomal RNA, internal transcribed spacer 1, and 5.8S ribosomal RNA
Rfam family: Eukaryotic small subunit ribosomal RNA (bases 1-73)
Source: RNAcentral